Molecule: ribosomal RNA, 1917 nt
Filed under: human oral metagenome
Description: bacterial LSU rRNA
Rfam family: Bacterial large subunit ribosomal RNA
Source: RNAcentral
AGGUAAAAAAUCAGCGUGGUUAGCAGAACGAGUUGGAAAGCUUAGCCAGAGACUGUGAUAGCCAGGUAUGCGAAAACGACGCUGACCUUAUUCUGUAUUCUCGAGUAGGUCGGGGCACGAGAAACCCUGAUUGAAUCCGGCUGGACCACCAGCCAAGGCUAAAUAUAGUAUAUGAUCGAUAGUGAACUAGUACGGUGACGGAAAGGUGAAAAGAACCCCGGGAGGGGAGUGAAAUAGAACCUGAAAUUUUGUGCCUACAAGGAGUCGGAGCCCAGCACCUUUGAAAUCGAGUGGUACAAUGUAGACAGAUGUUCUACGUGUACGUUUUGCAAAGUGAUCGGGAAUCAGAUCAAAUUUACUUCGGUCAGACCAGUGACUUAAGACGACGUCUCUCGGAGCAUAAUUCCGGUAAGGAUACUUAUACUAGGAUAUAUGCGCCAUGGAAGGUUGUCUAUUAUGAAGCCUAUUCAUCACGUAAGCUGGCAUUAGCCCGUGAGAGACAGUUGAAAGCUUAUGGACAAGCCAGGACUGCCCUGAAGAAGAGACUAAAUUUGAUCUGAUACUCGAUUUCAAAGGUGCUGGGUGACGGCGUGCUUUUUGUAGAACGAUCCAGCGAGUUAAUUUUUACGGCGAGGUUAAGUCAGAUGACGAAGCCACAGUGAAAGCGAGCAUUAACAGUGCGAUUUAGUCGUAAGGAUUAGACCCGAAACCAGGUGACCUAACCAUGAGCAGGUUGAAGCAACCUUAAUCGGUUGUGGAGGACCGAACCAGUGUAUGUUACAAAAUGCUUGGAUGACUUGUGGUUAGCGGUGAAAUGCCAAUCGAACUUGGAGAUAGCUGGUUCUCCGCGAAAUAGUUAUAGGACUAGCGUCGUGUGAUAGCUUACGGGGGUAGAGCUCUGUCAAGAGAUAGGGGGAGCAAUCCUACCUACUCUUAAUAAACUACGAAUACCGUAUGUCUGUAUCACGGCAGUUAGAACGUCGGUGCUAAGAUCGGCGCUCAAAAGGGAAACAGCCCAGACCAUCAUCUAAGGUCCCCAAAUUUACGCUAAGUGGGAAACAAGGUGGAAUUUCUUAAACAGCUAGGAUGUUGGCUUAGAAGCAGCCAUUCAUUUAAAGAGUGCGUAACAGCUCACUAGUCAAGAGAUUCUGCGUGGAAGAUAUAACGGGGCUAAGCGUAAUACCGAAGAUAUGGAUUGCAAUUUAUUGCAGUGGUAGCGGAGCGUUCCUAUCAGCAGUGAAGCCAGACUGUUAAGUACUGGUGGAGCGUUAGGAAGUGAGAAUGCUGGAACGAGUAACCAUAAGACAGGUGAGAAUCCUGUCGGCCGAAAGAGCGAGGUUUCCUGGGCUAUGGUAAUCAUCCCAGGGUUAGUCGGGCCUAAGCCGAGGCGUUUAGCGUAGGCGAUGGACAUCAGGUUAAUAUUCCUGAACUAGUCAAACUUUGUAUGCAGUUAGCGAUGAGAUAGGUGGAGCGGAUUCAUGGUUUAUCCGUUCAAGUGAUAGAGGAAUCUUGAUCGAGUAAAAGUGAACCUACGGGUUUACGAUUCCACUGAAGGCAUUGACCAGAAAAGCUGGCAUACGCAUGGGUUUGGCUACCCGUACCGCAAACCGACACAGGUGCUCGAGUCGAGGAGACUAAGGCUUACGAGAGAAUGAUUGCUAAGGAACUCGGCAAUACAGCGACCGUAACUUCGGAAUAAGGUCUGCCUACAUUUGUAGGCCGCAGCUAAAGAGCCCACGGAACUGUUUAUCAAAAACUCAGGUCUCUGCUAACACGAAAGUGGAUGUAUAGGGGCUGAAACCUGCCCGGUGCCGGAAGGUUAAGGGGAUUGCUUCACGGUGAGAACUGAAGCCCCGGUGAACGGCGGCGGUAACUAUAACCGUCCUAAGGUAGCGAAAUUCCUUGUCAGGUAAGUUC